Hippopotamus amphibius kiboko is the source of this 2154-nucleotide long non-coding RNA. RefSeq lists it as uncharacterized. The record is from RefSeq and is a predicted model, not a curated record. The transcript is spliced from 3 exons. NCBI's taxonomy places the organism in Eukaryota, Metazoa, Chordata, Mammalia, Artiodactyla, Hippopotamidae.
CCUUGACCUGCCGCUGAAUGAAGAAACAAACGCAGCCCGGCUAUUGGACACAGAAAAGUGUCCUAGAUGUCAGAGAAUGGAGGUUUAGAACGCGGGGGGAUAAAAACACAGAGGCAAAUCGUUUUAAAAAUAUAUCCAAAUUAGGUGUACAUAAAUAUGUUUUUCAAAAAAUCAACCUCUAGUGGUAUCCGGGGAAAGAAGAGAAUUUCGAAAUCAGGGGUGGACAAUAGAAAUCUUUGGGAAAGGUUCUUUAGUUCAGUGGUGCGUUGGCUAUCUGAAUGCCGUGGCCUGAAGUGCCUCAUAAAAAUAUCAGGCGGCGGAGGAGGGGGACGUGAAAGAAAAAUUGUCGGGACAUCACCCCCCUUCCCCACACCCCACCUCCCGGCCCUCCUGGAUGGCCUCGUAUGUUACACGAAAUUCUGGACGUCAUUACUACGCCAUUCUACUUGCAAAUAGGACUUCCACUGAUGGCUUCAGCCCUCACACCCCCAGGCCAGAAGCCAGCAGGACAUCCCAGGCACCGCAGCAGGAUCUGUCUGGGGUCCACAGGGCGCCAGCAGAGAGCUGACACCUGCUCACCAUCAUGGAGGAGCCUGCCAUCAAGAGGCACCUGAAGACAAUUCAACUCAACACUUCAGUCUAUGAAGAUGUGGCCACGUGUCUUCCAGUGCAGGGAUAUGUCUGGGAUACACAGCAGUAUCAUAUCAAGUUCAAGGCCCUCAGGGUGCCUACAAGAAGGUCCACAUGGCUCUUCUGUGCUCUGGGCCAGCCCCUCAGGCCUGCCCCUUCCACGAAGAGAUGGAUUGGGUGCUGCAGAUCAAGAUCAGCACCAGCCUGGCCAACCUCAGGGAGCAGACUCAGCCAUGGGAUCUCGACCACCACAACCAGCUGACACAGGGAGGAAAAAAAGUCAUUAGCAGAAAGAUGGGCCAGAAGGGCGCUCUCCCCAGCAGCAGCAGGGGCACCAGAACCAGAGGUGGAAGAUGGAGACAGAGCAUCCGUUUAAGCUAGAAGUAGAAGUGUUGGCGCUGUCCAGUGACCUCCGACCUGAAAGCCCAGCUGGUACCCAGACCAACAAGGCAGUCGAGAUGGAGAUUAGCCAGGAAGCCUAAGAAACUGGGCAGGUAAGUGGCCAGAUGUGUUCUACCAAAGCGCUAAUGCCAUAGGACUGGAUGGAGAAGGAGGUCACAGAUGAUAAAACCCAGGUCAAGAUCCCCUCAAAGGACCUGGAGCUCCUGAAAAUUUAAGAGAGUGUGGUUUCACUGCUGGUGUUGAAGCCAGCAUAUUAAAGCUGGAAAGGACACUGGGAGACCAUCUUUGCCUCUUAUAUUUUACAGAUGAGAAAACUAAGCCAGAGGAAAGUAAUGUGCAGAAGGUGACACUGCCAGUUAAUGCUAAGGCUGAAGCUAGAAGCCCAGCACAAUGAUCCUUCUACCAGUUUAUAACUGACUCUUGCCUUCAAUGUACUUUAUAACGGGGCAUCAUGGUAAUCUCUUCCAGCCUUAAAACUGGGGCCUGGGGAAAAAAUGGGAUAAGGAGAAGAGCUGGUAUUUCUCUCUAUCCUCCAACAGAAGUCCAGAGGGGGCCAGUCUCCAGACAGAAACCAGCCUCAGAGAGAAACUUCGUCAUCAGCUCCUGGGGUGUCUACAGUGCCCCCUAGAGCAGGUGGGCCAAGUGCACCAGCUGCAGCCCAGAGUCUGGCCCGCAGGUGCCACCUGACUGUUGCUGCCAUGAUUGCCACUGAUACAGCAGCAAACAGGCACCUGGUCAGUGAACUGGCCUGGGAAUCAGCUGCCCGGCUACAGGGCUACCGCGACCAGCACAGUCCCCACAUGGCAGCCCUGGUCCAGAUGGUCCAAGACACCUACAUUCAGCCCCGGUAAGUGGUAGCCAUUCUGCAGGACAGGAUGGUCUGAACCUACACUGGAACAUUCUUUCUUGUGUGAUGUUACGGUUUUCUCUCCCUCUCUGCCCCCCCGUCGCCUGCUGUUUCUAAAGGAAAAGGUGUUUUGUUAAACUUGGAAACCCUCACUACGUCCUUGCAGCGCAGAUGCCACCGAUGAACCUGAGGACUGACCUAAAAUGCCUCGUUUUCCCGCCUACCUGGUUCACCUAGAGAGGGGAUUCUGUUCACCUAACUUGUCCGGCUCCAAG